RNAcentral lists this ribosomal RNA (253 nucleotides) under uncultured bacterium. Its description in RNAcentral is "partial 16S ribosomal RNA". It matches the Rfam family "Bacterial small subunit ribosomal RNA", at positions 524 to 776 of the family's 1533-position model. The record is from RNAcentral.
GACGAAGGGGGCUAGCGUUGUUCGGAAUUACUGGGCGUAAAGCGCCCGUAGGCGGCCUGACAAGUUGGACGUGAAAGCUCCUGGCUUAACUGGGAGAGGCCGUUCAAAACUGUCAAGCUAGAGUCUGGAAGAGGAGAGCGGAAUUCCCGGUGUAGUGGUGGAAUGCGUAGAGAUCGGGAGGAACACCAGUGGCGAAAGCGGCUCUCUGGUCCAAAACUGACGCUGAGGGGCGAAAGCGUGGGGAGCGAACGGG